This 3765-nucleotide long non-coding RNA is filed under the name Homo sapiens (human). RNAcentral describes it as "HSALNT0010850". The record is from RNAcentral. Lineage: Eukaryota; Metazoa; Chordata; Mammalia; Primates; Hominidae.
GGCAGUCUUAGCAGAUUUGAGGCUAUCUGUUUCUGAAGCUGGGAGACAGAAUCCCUGAGUUCAUAAUUUUCUUUCAUCACUUUGUCCACUGAACAUAGGAACAACCAACCAGCUUCAUUAUGUUCCUUGGUUCUCCACAUAUGGUGAAAGGUAUUAUGCAUAGAGUCACUAAACUUGACUCUCACGAGUAAUGAAUCAGGAGGGUCAAAUGCAUUUAUUUUGCAUAACUCUCUAAACAGUUCACACCAAGGACUAUCAGUGUUCUCCAUACUAUUAGAAGUAGAGUCCUUAGCAUUUUGGGUUCUAAUCAUAUUAAGCAGCCAACUCCAGAAACCCCAAACCAAUGAAAGAACUCCAUCCUUAAUAUUCUGUUCCUCUAGAACCACUCCCAAUACCAAAAUCUGUAUUAGUCAGGGUUCUCUAGAGGGACAGAAUAGGACACGCACACACACACACACACACACACAAAUAUAUGGAGAGUUUAUUAAGUAUGAACUUACACAAACACAAGGUCCCACAAUAGGAUGUCUGCAGGCUGAGGAGGAAGGAGAGCCAGUCCAAGUCCCAAAACUGAAGAACCUGGAGUCCAAUUUUCAAGGGCAGGAAGCAUCCAGCAUGGGACAAAGAUGUAGGCUGGGAGGCUAGGCCAGUCUAUCUUUUUCAUUUUUCUGCCUGCUUUAUUUUCGCUGGCAGCUGAUUAGAUGGUGUCCACUCAGAUUAAGGGUGGGUCUGCCUUUCCCCAGCCCACUGAGUCCAAUGUUAACCUCCUUUGGCAACACCCUCACAGACACACCCAGGAUCAAUACUUUGUAACCUUCAAUCUAAUAAAGUUGACAGUAUUAACCAUCACACCUGCCUAAGUAAAGAUUAAAUGAGAUGAUCAUCACAACGCAUAUUUGUUGCUGUUGUUGUUUAAAAAAGUGAAUGGAGGGCCAGGUGUCGUGACUCACACCUGUAAUCCCAGCACUUUGGGAGGCCGAGGCAGGCAGCCCACUCAAAGUGAGUAGUUCGAGACCAACCUGGCCAACAUGGUGAAACCUUGUCUCUACUAAAAAUACAAAAAUUAGUGGGUGUGGUUGCGUUCACCUGUAAUCCCAGGUACUCGGGAGGCUGAGGCAAGAGAAUCGCUUGAACCGGGAAGGCAGAGGUUGCAGUGAGCCGAGAUAGCGCAACUGCACUCCAGCCUGGGUGACACAGCAAGACUUCGUGUCAAGAACAAAAAACAAAAAACAAACAAAAAAAGUGAAUGAAGGGAAAAAUAGAUUAAGUUUUCAAUGUAACAUUGUUCAUAGUAGGAAGAAAACCUGAAAGCAACCUAAAUGCCCAUCAACAGUGGGAUUAAUACAUUGUAGUAUAAACCCAGUAAAAUACUUUAGUUUUUUAAAAAAUGAAAAUAAACUAUAGUUACAAUUGUAUAGGUAGCUUUUUUUCAUAGCCAAUUAGUCGUUUAAUCUAUUUUCUGAACUGCAUGCUUAUUUUAUGGAUGCAGAGUAGAUUGGUUGAGUGUGAGGACACUUAAAAAUAGCAUGAUACAGUUAUUGUAGGAAGUAUUAAUAUUUAAAAAUUGUUACAGCCAAGACCAAAAAGUGAGAACCACAAUUCAAUAUUUUCUAUAAAUUUCAUAAAUGUCUAUGUUUAAACAUUCCUGGUAAAUAUGUAUAAUCGUACACUUUUAAACUUUCUCUGAUAAAUUCAGUGAGUAUUCAAUAAUUGCUCAUUAUCAAAAGGUUGUGAAUUUGUCUCUCUUCCAGCCAGAUGACAGGAGCCUAGGAUUCCAAUGGUGUGCUCAGGACUGACAUCACUGGGGUCAAAGAUUCAGCUGCCAUGGUCCAGGCUCCAGGCUGGGGAGGAUGUUAGGGAUUGGUGUGGUCAGGACCAGCGCUGCUAUGACUGCGGAUUUAUUUGGCAUAUUUGGGACUGGGUGUGAUGAGACAGCAGCUGGCAUGUCAAGAGGUUGAGGGAGGGAGGAAGAAUGAACAAAUUAUUUAGGAUUAUGGGAGUCAGGUUUCUAUGAGAGAAGGAAGUUACAAAGAUGGAAAGGGAGACUAGAUUAACCUCAAAGGAUUGAAUUGAAGGUGUCAAUGUGAACUCAAAGUUUUCAAUACGUAUGUAUAUAAAUAGAUAUAGAAGUAGGUGACUAUUCUUGAAUGUGUGUAGACACACGUUUUCCUUUGAGCUGUUCACCAAUAAGACAGUGAGCCUUUCUCAGGUCUUCAUUUCCAUAUACCAUUUCCCAUUUAAAGAAACCAGGGCUCCUUGGAAAAAAGGGCUAAUUCUAGACUUGGGGUAGGGAGUAGGAAAAAGUGUAAGAUGAGCUCGUAAAAAAAAUAAGAGGGGAAAAAGCAAUGAGGCAUCUCUAAGGAACACAGAAGCCAGCUUGAAGAGACUCCCAAAAACCAAAUCGGGGAAAAUUUCAGCAUGAAAAUAAGUGACAAUAAUACACUGUCACUGAAUAAAGCAGGCAUUCAUGAAUCUAUACUGAUUUAAGUGAAUGAAGGAAUAGAGAAGGAAGAGCUCUUCCUUACAGUAGUAGGAUGCCAACCAAGGCAGAAGCCACGGACUCACCAUUUGACAACCAAAAUAGUAAUUGGUUCAGUCAAGAAUUGUCAAUAGACUAGCCCGUGACAAUUCGAUGAGAAACAAUACAUUUACAAUCUUUAAGAAUCUCCUCACAAAUUACUUCCUAAUUCUAAUUUUACAAUGGAGAAACCUGGUAUAUACUAUCUGAACCAAGUGACCAAAAUUAAUACUAUCAGGUAUAAGACAAAUUGACAUUGUGUGCAUCCUGGCAUGACACAUUUGAGUAUAGAGCAUCAUUUCUGUAGUAUUGGACAAAAAUGUCUAUCCUAAACCUUAUGGGUCUUAUCUAAUGAUAAACCAAAACUGAGGAACUUUCUACAAACUGGCCAAUCCUCCUCAAGUGUCAAGGUCAAAGACAAGUCUGAAAAGAUGUUCUGGACUGAAUGAAACAAGAGAUAGGGCAACUAAAUGCACUAUGUGGUCCUGGAUUGGGAUGCUGAAACACAGGAACAUUACUGAGGCAAUCAAAAUCAGCAGAUUGAAUGUGGUCUAUGGAUUAGAUAUCAUGAUGUCAAUGUCAAUCUCCUAAGUUUGAUGGUUGUACUAUGGUUACGUAGGAAUGCCCUUGUCUUAAGGAAACACACAGUAGAUAGAGGUAAUAAUGCAAAAAAUAUUUUGGUUGGGAUUACAUUGAAUCUACAAAUGUAAAUGAACAUCUUUACACGACUGAGUCUUCUAAUUCGUGUACAUUAUGGAGUACUACAUUUAUUUAAGAUCUCCUUAAAUGCUUCCUGACAUGGUCUAACAUUUUCUCCAUCAAGAUCUUGUACAUCUUUUGUUAGACUUAUUCUUAGGUAGAGUAUUUUGUAUUUUUUAAUGAUAUUGAAGAGAUCUUUCUAAAAACUUCCAUUUCUGUUAGUUGCUGAUAUCUAGGAAUACAACUGACUUACAUACUGAUUGUGAAUGUAGCAAAUUUGCUAACUCCUAGAUGUUAACUGAAUAGUCUACAUAUAUAAUCAUAUCAACACAGUGCACACUGUGGAUCCUCUAGAAAUAGCAACCUCUUCUCAAGAGAUACUUGCCUCAGGGCCCCAGGAAACUAGAAAGCAUCUAGAGGCUUAAGGCUCUACGCUGGACAAAGUGCCAGGGAGCCCUAAAGGCAGAAAGGACCCAAAAGUGAAAUUCUCAUUUUUAAGCUGUGAGGGAAAACAGAGAAAUGAGUUUAUUACAUGAUAUAACCUUUGG